RNAcentral lists this long non-coding RNA (720 nucleotides) under Anolis carolinensis (green anole). RNAcentral's name for it is "lncRNA (ENSACAG00000032003.2)". The record is from RNAcentral. Lineage: Eukaryota; Metazoa; Chordata; Lepidosauria; Squamata; Anolidae.
AUGUAUACAGUUCUGAGUAGGGUGGCCUUUUGUAGCAGACAGAUAGUAAUUUUGUCAGUGCCAAUUGUGUUUAAAUGCAGGCCAAGAUCUUUAGGCACUGCACCCAGUGUGCCGAUCACCACUGGGACAAUCUUUACUGGCUUAUGCCAGAGUCUGGUGGAGCCCGUGGGGAACCCAUCACAUCUCACUCCGCAUUGCCCACCUUGCUCCUCAGUCCUCACCACAUCCCAUGGGGGGAAACGUUUGCCACCUGGCUUCCCUUUGUUCUUGCCUAUGCAACACAGGAAGCUUGCCAUGCUGCUGCCAUGGCAACUUAACAUGCUUUCACUUCUCUUGCACCACAGAGCACAGCUGGAUGUAGAUCGAUGUGGGAUGAGAGCUAGCAGACUCCAUGCUACAAGUGAAGUGUCAUACAACAGGCAGUUUUGCCCAUCUGAUGAGGCCCUGACACACAACUCCAAAAGGAUACUCUUUCCGCCUUCAAUCCUGGCAGCACAUCUGAAACCAAGUUCUAGGAUUGAUACAGGGUGAGUAUCUCUUAUAUGAAAUGCUUGGGACCAGAAGUGUGUUGGAUUUCAGUUUUUUAGGAAUUUGGAAUGCUGCAUUUGAAUAUAUAUAUACAUAAUGAGAUAUCUUGUAGAUAAGAACCAAGUCUAAAUGCAGAAUUCAUUUAGCCAUGUUUCAUCACAUAAUAGUCUACUUUUUUGCCAUUUUUCCAUA